UGACAUUUUCCACGAAAGUGUCUUAAUCCAUACAUAUUAUAAAUACAGUCUCUAACUUCAAUUCAAAACAAAUACUAAAAUUUCUCUAUUUCUAACUAUGGCAACAGAUCAAAAAUACCAACAAUCAUAUCCUUUAGCCCCAUCAAAUUUUAUGCCAAGAAGUGAUGCAGAAUCAUUAGCAAAUUUCCAAGCCAAUAAUAUCAAGAGGAAAAACAAAAUCAGAAAUAUUUUAUUCUUCACAUUGUUCUUAACUGGAAUCGUUCUUCUAUUUUCUCUCAUAUUUGUUCGAAUCAAAUCACCUCAAAUCUGGCUCGAAAACAUCAGAAUCACAAACUAUAGUGAUGGCAAUAAUAUUAGUUUUUCUGCACAAGUUUUUGUGAGAAAUCCUAAUUAUUGGCGUUACGACUUUGAUAGCAGUUUAGCUACUAUUACUUCAGGGGGUGUGUCUAUUGGCCAAUUUAUUAUUCCUGAAUCAGAGGUACGACGUCAUUCGACGAAAAAAUUAUUUAUUAUUGCAAAUAUUGUCAUAAGAAAAGGAGUCAAUAAUACUAACGGGAUUUUGCCAGUGACUACCCUGGCUAAGAUAAGAGGGGAAUUGAAGAUCUUUAGGGUAUUUAGGAGGAAGAAAUCUGCAGAUUUGAGUUGUACUAUGGAUAUUAAUUUGACUAUAAGUGCCAUUCAAGAUCUUGAUUGCAAGUGAGAGUGAAAAAAGGAUUUUUGUGAAUUAUUACCAAAGUUUCCUUUUAACAUCUAUACUUUCUUUUGUUUCAGUAUAUUAAUAAUAUUUUUUUCUUUGAGGAAUUUGUUAAUAAAGUGCAGCUUAUUCUAAGUUGUAUUAUUGGUCAUCUAAUGAUCACCCCUAUAUAGAUAUAAUCCUUUUUUGAAAUUUAAAGAUUAUAACAUGUGUUUUUACAUGUUCUUAUUCUCUCUUCUUGAUUGAACAAUGAUCAAGUGAAACCACUGAAGAUUGACGAAUCUGCGGCGUGGUAUAUGUUGACUCAAACUGUUACGAACCAGACCCGGCCCAAUAUCAUACAAGCAGUUAUUGAAUGAAAGAAUUGCAUAGGGCGCCCUGUUUGGGCGCCCCUUUUUAACAUUUAGUCACUUUAUUUUUCUAAUUGUAUUCGUACCCAUUUUUUUGUUAAAAGCCAUUUGGAAAGAAUAUUUUGCCCUUCUUUAUUAAAAAACUACUUUCUUUCCAAGUAUACAGUAGUCCUCCACUGUCUCUGUCUCUCUCUCCCGUUAUUUGCGCUUUUUGAUUUGUUCUUCUCUGAAAUCAAACAGUUUUCGUUGUUGUUUCGAAUUUUCAAGUGCUAGUCAUCGUUGUUCCCACAUUACGAUUUAAUCACAGGUACAUUGCAUUAACUUUUCGGGUUCUUCUGGUUUUGGUUUUUAUAGUCAUGUAUUUAUGAUAGGGUUUAGUUUGAUAAGUUCAGUAGUUUUACUUUUACGUUUGUAUUUUUAGGUUUUUUGAACGAGUGUUUAUGUUAUUGAUGAAAAUUAUAUAAAUUCUUAUGUGUUAAGACGUUCAAAUUUUUAAAAAAUUUCAGAGUUAAACACAUGAUAAUGAUACCUUAGAUAGGAGUAGAAGUUUUUUUUUUUCUUCAUGUUUUCCAUUAUUUUUGGAUUUGAAUUUGUCUUUUUUUUGCUGAAUGUUUUGUGCUUGUAUGGAGAACCAUAAUUAAGUUUAUGUGUUUGUAACUCGUGAAUUCCAUCUUUAGGAACUGAAGUUUUUGUGUUUGUAACUGGUGAAGUCCAACUUUAGGAGAUAAAGUUUUUGUAUUUGUUACUGUUGAACUUCAGCUCUAGAGAUGAAGUUUUUAUUUUAUACCUGUCGAACUACAGUUAAAGAGUUGAAGUUUUUAUUUUGUAACUGUCAAACUUCAGCUCUAGAGCUGAAGUUUUUGUUUUAUACCUGUCGAACUUCAGCUCUAGACCUGAAGUUUUUGUUUUAUAUUUAUCGAACUUAAGCCUUCUUAGGUAUUGAAGUUUUAACUAAUAUUUUUGAUAAUGUCCUGAUGUUAUUAUUUGUAUCUUUUACCUUUUUUGGACAGAUGGCUCCUUAAGUACCUACAGAUCCUAAAGUAGCUAAAGAAGGUAAAGCACCUAUAAAACCUAGACUGCCUGUAGUAGCCCCAGGUCCGUACGUCCCUGAGCUUCUACCUACAAGACCAGGACAAAAUUAUUUUGAGUUUGAAGAUUGGUUUAACUCUAAGGGUUACUGGAAAGGGAACCAUGAAUUGAAGGGUUUUAUUGCAACUUUCUUGACUCCUGCACAAUAGGAUAAGCAUAAUAAUGGUACAUUUAAGCACAUUAUUGCUACGGAGAAUUUCAAAUGCAGCAUGAAGUUAGUUCAUUAUUUGUGUCUUUCUCGAAUAUUCACGAAUGAUCGAGACUCCAUUAGUUUCAAGAUUUUUGACUAUGAUGUUUCCUUCACCCUUGAAGACUUUCACAUUAUGUGUGAUUUACGAAUCACAUCACAUAAUGUUGAAAAACUAUUUUAUCGAGAGAGCAAUAUUCUGAAGCGCUAUUUUGGUAAGUCCAAGGGUGUGACUUUGAAGGAGGUUCGAAGUUUUAUGACUCGCAAUAAAAUUCCAAAGAAUAUUGUGAAUCAUGUACACGUAUGCGAGAGUGAUGAUGAUGCAAUUAAGCUUAUGGAAAUUCUUGUUGUAGAGACUAUUCUACAACAAUAACAACUACCCAGUGUAGUUCCACAGGGUGAUGUCUGGGGAGGGUAAUAUGUACGCAGGCCAUAGCCCCACCCAAAAGGGCAGAGAUGAUAUUUCCAAUAGACCCUCGGCUUAGGGAAAGGAAAGAAAAAAUAAAAACAAAAGAAAAUUAGUAACUCCAAUAGGAAUGAAUACACAAUUAUGUAAAUAUAGACCAUAAAUAAUAUGACAUGCAAGAGGAAAGGUAAACAAAAAACAGAAGCAAAAGGGCAUCCACAAAUAUUUAUUUAGCCACAUCCUGUAAAUAAGCUGACAUGCAAUAACAACAACCACUAACUACCAAAAGAAUACACUACAAUACACAGACCAUCAAUGGAGAGCCCCACCAAACCCCGAGCAUCCCCGUGAGAGAAUUGCGAAAAAUUCUAAGAGCCCCUAUCCUACAACCCUGAUACUAGACCUCCAGGAUUUCUUAUCAAGGGCCAUGUCCUCGGAAAUUCGCAUCCUAGCCAUGUCGUACCUAAUAACCUCUUCCCAAUACUUCUUUGGCCUCCCUCUGCCUCGACUCACGCCAACCACCGCCAACCGUUCACAACUCCUUACCAGGGCAUCUGGGAUUCUCCUUCGCACAUGCCCGAACCACCUAAGGCUUGCUUCCUGCAGCUUCUCAUCCACUGGGGCCACACCCACCUUCUCUCGAAUAACUCUAUUUUUAAUCUUAUCUAACCUAGUGAUCCCGCACAUCCACCUGAGCGUUCUCAUCUCCGCAACCUUCAUUCUCUAAACAUGAGAGUUCUUCACCGGCCAGCACUCUGCCCUAUACAACAUGGCUGGUCUUACCACAGCUCUAUAAAACCUCCCCUUGAGUUUCUGUGGCACUUUCUUGUCACACAAGACUCCUGAUGAAAGCCUCCAUUUCGACCACUGUACCCCUAUACGCUGGGUGACAUCCCCGCCGAUCUCUUCAUCUCCUAAAUCACUGACCUAAGAUAUCUGAAACUGUCCCUCUUGGUGAUGACCUGAGAUCCAAGCUUCACGACCCUGCCUACUUCUUCUUUACUCGACUCUGCGCUAAACAUGCACUCCAGGUACUCUGUCUCAGACCUACUUAGUUUGAAACCAUUUGACUCGAGAGUCUCUCUCCAGACCUCCAACCUCUCGUUGACAUCGGCCCUCGUCUCGUCUAUCAAGACUAUGUCAUCAGCAAAUAGCAUACACCAUGGCACAUCCUCUUGAAUAUGGCGAGUUAGAGCAUCCAUCACCAAAGCAAAUAAGAGAGGACUAAGCGCAGUUCCUUGAUGGAGUCCCAUAACCACCGGAAAAUGGUCUGAGUCGCCACUCACCGUCCUAAGCCUAGUCUUAGCUCCAUCAUACUUGUCCUUGAUCACUCUGAUGUAGGCUUCCGGCACGCUCUUCGCCUCCAAGCACCUCCCUUGGGACCUUAUCGUAUGCCUUCUCCAAGUCGAUAAACACCAUGUGUAGAUCCUUUUUCUUAUCUCUGAAUUGUUCCACCAAUCUCCUGACAAGGUGGAUAGCUUCUGUUGUGGAGCGGCCCGGCAUGAAGCCGAACUGGUUCACGGAGAUUCAUCACCAAAGCAAAUAAUAGAGGGAUAAGUGCAGAUCCUUGAUGGAGCCCCAUAACCACCGGAAAAUGGUCUAAGUCACCACCCAGCGUCCUAAUCCUAGUCUUAGCUCCAUAGUACAUAUCCUUGAUCACUAUGAUGUAGGCUUCCGGCACGCUCUUCGCCUCCAGGCACCUCCAUAGAGCCUCCCUUUUGGACCUUGUCGUAUGCCUUCUCCAAGUCAAUAAACACCAUGUGUAUAUCCUUCUUCUUAUCCCUGAACUGUUCCACCAAUCUCCUAGUAAGGUGGAUAGCUUCUGUUGUGGAGCGGCCCGACAUGAAGUCAAACUGGUUCACGUGUAUGGACAUCAUCUCCCUUACCUCGCCUCCACCACCCGCUCCCAGACUUUCAUUGUGUGGCUUAGUAAUUUGAUAAUCCUAUUGUUUUUACAACACUGGAUAUCCCCGUUGUUCUUAUACAAGGGCACCACUGUGUUCCACCUCCACUCAUCCGGCAUCCUCUUUGUCCUGAAGAUCACAUUGAACAACCUGGACAGCCAAUCCACCCCUGCCCAUCCUAUGCUUUUCUAGAACUCCACCGGGAUUUCGUCUGGCCCGAUGGCACGAACCCUACUCGUCCUACGCAAAGCCCCCACCACCUCCCCUACCGUGAAGCGUCUGCAGUACCCAAGGUCUCUAUGACACUCUGAAUUUCCCAAUUCCCCUAACUCAAAGUCUCGAUCCCCUUCCUUAUUAAGCAUGUCUUGAAAGCAUGCCUGCCACCUUUUCAUGAUUUGGGAUUCCCCAUCAAGACUCUACCAUCCUCGUCCUUGAUGCACCUAACUUGGUCUAGAUCACGCGUCUUCCUCUCCCUCACUUUAGCCAACCUCAAUAACUUCUUGUUCCCGUCUUUCUCCCCCAAUUCCUUGUACAUGCAACCGAAUGCCACAUUUUUAGCUUCCGUGACCGCCAUCUUUUCUUAUUUUCUCGCCACCUUGUAGCUCUCCCUAUUCGCUCUCCUUUCCUCCUCGCUUAUGCUCCUUGCCAAUUUAGCAAGCGCCGCUUUCUUCGCCACCACUUUUCUUUGGACUAUAUCAUUCUACCACCAGUCACCUUGAUGUCUGCCUGAAUAGCCCUUGGCUAUCCCGAGCACAUCUCGCGCUGCCUCCCUACCCAGGUUUGCCGUCCGUGACCACAUUGCGUCCGCUUCCCCAGAAAUUCUCCAAGCUCCACCAUCAGCUAACCUCGUCUCCAACUCAUGGGCUUUCACCUUAGAUAAAGCUCCCCAUCUAAUCCGCGGCUGUCCCAGAGCACCCCUCUUCUUCGUCUUCACCCAGAGACCAACAUCCAUCACUAGGAGUCUAUGGAGAGUCGAAAAGGACUCUCCCGAGAUAACCUUAUAGUCCUUGCCCAACACUCCAUCACUCCUUCUGAGGAGGAGGUAAUCAAUCUGAGUCCUUGCCGUCGAACUCAUAAAAGUAACCAAGUGCUCCUCUUUCUUCUGAAAUGUGGAGUUCACAAUAAAAAGCUCAAAAGCCCUGGCGAAAUCAAGCAGCGAAGUGCCUCCUCCGUUCCUAACUCCAAAGCCAUAGCCACCAUGCACCUCACCAUAACCACCAGCAUCAGCCCCAAUAUGACUAUUAAAAUCACCUCCAAUAACUAAUUUCUCAGAUUGGGGAAUACUUCUCAAUAACUCAUCCAAGCCUUCCCAAAAGCGCCUCUUAACCUCUUCAUCUAAUCCUGCUUGCGGAGCGUAAGCGCUGAUGAUUGCAUCAGUCCCAAUAUUGCUGUUAAAAUCACCUACAAUAACUAACUUUGGACAAGCAUAAUAAACAUCAUGCAACUGAGUAUAAACUUAAUGGAUUUCCAUAUUCGUUAUGUGUUUAGUUCUAUGAGUGUUUCCCAGAUGUCCGGGAAAAGUAUGUAGUAGAGGAUGAAUACCUUAAUAUGCCUCAGGUCCCCAGGAUGUUACGUUAUGUAUGCGUGGGAGAGCCUAAAUUUUCCGAACUUUAUUAUAUGUU
This 6252-nucleotide long non-coding RNA is filed under the name Nicotiana benthamiana. RNAcentral's name for it is "long non-coding RNA (NBEN_LNC005736)". Lineage: Eukaryota; Viridiplantae; Streptophyta; Magnoliopsida; Solanales; Solanaceae. The record is from RNAcentral.